GAUGAACGCUGGCGGCGUGCCUAAUACAUGCAAGUCGAGCGAACAGACGAGGAGCUUGCUCCUCUGACGUUAGCGGCGGACGGGUGAGUAACACGUGGAUAACCUACCUAUAAGACUGGGAUAACUUCGGGAAACCGGAGCUAAUACCGGAUAAUAUAUUGAACCGCAUGGUUCAAUAGUGAAAGACGGUUUUGCUGUCACUUAUAGAUGGAUCCGCGCCGCAUUAGCUAGUUGGUAAGGUAACGGCUUACCAAGGCGACGAUGCGUAGCCGACCUGAGGGGGUGCUGGGCCACCCGGGAACUGAGACACGGCCCAGCCCCCGAGGGGAGGCAGCAUUGGGGAAUCUUCCGCAAGGGGGGAAACCCUGACGGAGAAACGCCGGGGGGGGGAUGAAGGUCUUCGGAUGGUAAAACGCUUUUUUUGGGGAAAAACAAAUUUGAAAGUAACUAUGCCCGUCUUGACGGUACCUAAUCAGAAAGCCCCGCCAAACUACGG
Molecule: ribosomal RNA, 496 nt
Filed under: uncultured bacterium
Lineage: Bacteria
Description: partial 16S ribosomal RNA
Rfam family: Bacterial small subunit ribosomal RNA
Source: RNAcentral